AGUGAACGCUGGCGGUAGGCCUAACACAUGCAAGUCGAACGGCAGCACAGUAAGAGCUUGCUCUUACGGGUGGCGAGUGGCGGACGGGUGAGGAAUACAUCGGAAUCUACUUUUUCGUGGGGGAUAACGUAGGGAAACUUACGCUAAUACCGCAUACGACCUACGGGUGAAAGCAGGGGAUCUUCGGACCUUGCGCGAUUGAAUGAGCCGAUGUCGGAUUAGCUAGUUGGCGGGGUAAAGGCCCACCAAGGCGACGAUCCGCAGCUGGUCUGAGAGGAUGAUCAGCCACACUGGAACUGAGACACGGUCCAGACUCCUACGGGAGGCAGCAGUGGGGAAUAUUGGACAAUGGGCGCAAGCCUGAUCCAGCCAUAUCGCGUGGGUGAAGAAGGCCUUCGGGUUGUAAAGCCCUUUUGUUGGGAAAGAAAAGCAGCAGGUUAAUACCCCGCUGUUCUGACGGUACCCAAAGAAUAAGCACCGGCUAACUUCGUG
Molecule: ribosomal RNA, 492 nt
Filed under: uncultured bacterium
Lineage: Bacteria
Description: partial 16S ribosomal RNA
Rfam family: Bacterial small subunit ribosomal RNA
Source: RNAcentral